This 418-nucleotide ribosomal RNA is filed under the name uncultured bacterium. RNAcentral's name for it is "bacterial SSU rRNA". It matches the Rfam family "Bacterial small subunit ribosomal RNA", at positions 335 to 768 of the family's 1533-position model. The record is from RNAcentral.
ACUCCUACGGGAGGCAGCAGUGGGGAAUAUUGCACAAUGGGCGCAAGCCUGAUGCAGCAACGCCGUGUGAGUGAAGAAGGUUUUCGGAUCGUAAAACUCUGUCCUAAGGGAAGAAACAAAUGACGGUACCUUAGGAGGAAGCCCCGGCUAACUACGUGCCAGCAGCCGCGGUAAUACGUAGGGGGCAAGCGUUAUCCGGAAUCACUGGGCGUAAAGGGUGCGUAGGCGGCUUAGCAAGCCAGGGGUGAAAGGCAUUGGCUCAACCAAUGUAAGCCUUUGGAACUGUUAAGCUUGAGUGCAGGAGAGGUAAUGGAAUUCCUAGUGUAGAGGUGAAAUUCGUAGAUAUUAGGAGGAACACCGAGUGGCGAAGGCGACUUACUGGACUGUAACUGACGCUGAUGCACGAAAGCGUGGGUAG